This 237-nucleotide unclassified non-coding RNA is filed under the name Hevea brasiliensis (rubber tree). Lineage: Eukaryota; Viridiplantae; Streptophyta; Magnoliopsida; Malpighiales; Euphorbiaceae. The record is from RNAcentral.
GGAACCGUGGUGAAAGUAGCAGCGGCAUUGCGGGCAAAUAGAGAGAUAUGGGCAGCAGUUGAGAUGAUUGAAUUCUUGGAGAAGGAAGGCUGCCCUGUCGGAUUUGAGAGCUAUGAGCUGGUGCUUGAGGGGUGUUUGGAGUGCAAAGAAUAUCUUUUGGCUGGAAAAGUGGUGAUGAGAAUGACAGAGAAAGGGUUUAUACCUUAUAUCAAGGCCAGACAAAAGGUGAUAGAGGGG